This 380-nucleotide ribosomal RNA is filed under the name uncultured cyanobacterium. RNAcentral describes it as "bacterial SSU rRNA". It matches the Rfam family "Bacterial small subunit ribosomal RNA", at positions 376 to 770 of the family's 1533-position model. Lineage: Bacteria; Bacillati; Cyanobacteriota. The record is from RNAcentral.
CGAAAGCCUGACGGAGCAAUACCGCGUGAGGGAGGAAGGCUCUUGGGUCGUAAACCUCUUUUCUCAGGGAAGAACACAAUGACGGUACCUGAGGAAUAAGCAUCGGCUAACUCCGUGCCAGCAGCCGCGGUAAUACGGAGGAUGCAAGCGUUAUCCGGAAUGAUUGGGCGUAAAGGGUCCGCAGGUGGCAUUGUAAGUCUGCUGUUAAAGAGUUUGGCUCAACCAAAUAAGAGCAGUGGAAACUACAAAGCUAGAGUAUGGUCGGGGCAGAGGGAAUUCCUGGUGUAGCGGUGAAAUGCGUAGAUAUCAGGAAGAACACCGGUGGCGAAGGCGCUCUGCUAGGCCAAAACUGACACUGAGGGACGAAAGCUAGGGGAGCG